AGCCUUGCGCAGUGGCAGUAUCGUGGCCAAUGAGGUUUAUCCGAGGUGCAAUUAUUGCUAAUAGAGUAGCAAAACCCUAUUUAUUUACUCUACCUGGUUUAAUGAGUCUGACCUACUUUCGUCAGGAAAAAAAAAAAGU
Small nuclear RNA from Mustela lutreola (European mink), 139 nucleotides. RefSeq annotates it as U4 spliceosomal RNA. The transcript has a single exon. Lineage: Eukaryota; Metazoa; Chordata; Mammalia; Carnivora; Mustelidae. The record is from RefSeq and is a predicted model, not a curated record.